UAGAAGAGACCAGUGUGCUUACUGCA
Molecule: non-coding RNA, 26 nt
Filed under: Mus musculus (house mouse)
Lineage: Eukaryota; Metazoa; Chordata; Mammalia; Rodentia; Muridae
Source: RNAcentral